Long non-coding RNA from Gambusia affinis (western mosquitofish), 3859 nucleotides. RefSeq lists it as uncharacterized. NCBI's taxonomy places the organism in Eukaryota, Metazoa, Chordata, Actinopteri, Cyprinodontiformes, Poeciliidae. The transcript has 3 exons. The record is from RefSeq and is a predicted model, not a curated record.
AGUUAAUGGAAAGUCCCCACAAAGAUGGCCGCUCAAAUGUGUGUGUUUGUGUGUGUCUGUGUGUCUGCGUGAGUGUAUAGAUGUGCAGUCACUUCUCGCUUCACAUGCACGUCCCGCUUUGAUUCCAUGUGCUGUUGAUUAAUUUCAUCUCGCCGCUGCAAAGCGACACUGACCAACAUCAGUGCGAGGCGGAAGCAGGCAGAGCGAAGGCGGGAGGGCGGCAGGGAGGCUUUCGCCUGAUGUCCUAGACCAGAGACAACUGCUAAUUCAUCAGCUGAAGGGAGAUAAUUAUUGUCAGAGCUGCUGGUGGGCUGGAGACUCUUCCGGGUGAGCGGGUUUUCUUCAGUUCUCGCAGGAGGAAAAGCGUAGUCUGUACAUUUGCUCGUCGUCUUUGUGAUGGAAAUCCUGCUGCAUCUCAGCGGGAUGACGGCUUCAGAUGACAGAGCCUUCACGUGAUCUGCUACCCAGUACAGCAUGAGGAUGGCUGCAUCUGGAAGGUUUAUCACCUGUUUGCUGCUGAUGCUACACUCAACUAGAGCCCAGAAUCCCUCUGAGGACUCCUCUACCUCCUCCGACAUCUUGCCUAGUCCUCAGAGCCUCAUCAGCCUCUUCCUCCUGGCCCUGACUGUCACCUUGUCUGGCACCGUCUACCUGUGGAUCCUCAGAUAUGUGUGCAUCGGCUGCUGCCAGCCCGUCACAGUUGGCCCGGAGUCUGAGGCUCUGGCAGUGAUGGUGUGAAGACGUCAAGUCGUAAUUAGAUCCUGGGAGUUAACAUGCUUUUUUUUUUCUAAUUGUACAUUUUAAUUUGCUUUGCUCGUGAGAACAGAGGGACGGUGAAGGUGGUAGGGGGAUGUGGCUCACCACCAAGGGGGUGGCUGUAGUUGGAGAAACUUGAGUUUUUUUGUGAAAAGUGUACUUACUAAAUCCCACAAAAGUGCAAAUUAAUAUUUAUGAAGUUGACGUUGGGGCCUCUGACAGAGAGGUUUGCUUGGGACUCCAUUAAUUCAAGUGAUGCCAAGGUAAUCAGAAUGACACUAAAUAUGCUUGUGAUUAACAGCAUAGCUAUAUUCACUGUGUGCUAAGCCAAGUAUUUGUUACAGAGAUAGAGAUUCAGAAAAUAAAAUGUGACAGUCUUCAUUCAGUUGGCCUCUUGACCUCUCUGCAAAGAAACCAUUUGAAUUUUAUACCUAUUUUUUAAUGUUUAACUUCCAGAACAGUUCACGAUGUUGAAAAUGUAAAGGACUCUGAGUUGUUGGGUUUUUUUUUUACUUCCUUUAAAGGGGCAGUAUUUUUGUGUUUUUCAGGCACAUAGUGCCAUUUUAUAGCAUAACGAAAUAACUGAACUUCAGUUGUAAUAAAAUGCUGUUAAGUCAAAUAUGACUUAAAAGAAAUUUUGCUUCCUAAUUUAACGCCUUGAAAUUGUGUCACUGUCUCUUUAAAUCUUCUGCUCUUUCUGAAACUCCGUUCACUUCAGAAAGUCGUCGCAACGUCUUUCCUCCAUUAACCCUGUAACAGUGUUUUUACCAGCGUUGCUCUGAGAAGUAGAUGCGCAGUUCUACCAGGUGUUUGCUAAUUGCUGCUGGGUGAGUCGCGAGAGUCUGCGAAGAAGCUGCGUCGGCGCUAGCGCCACCCAAGGCGUUUAGCACAGGUUGCCAUGGAGAUGAAGGGAUCUCUCAAACAUACCUGAAAGAAUCAAGGUAACACUCCGGGUAUGUUCAUAAAGACGUCACAUUACAACAUGAGGUAAAGCUUAAACAAAGUCAGUUUUACAUAAUACUGCCCCUUUAGAAGCAUGAGAGGUGGUCUGGUUUGGUUUUAGGGUCCAGUUUAAAGCCAGCGUGUUUUAGCUAAUUCUGGAGAUACCAUUUACACUGCAUAGCAAGUUUGAGGAAACAAAGCAAAUUUGGUAAUCUGUGAUAUUUAGAUUCAUGUAACUGAUAUUUUUUUUUACCUUUGGUUGCGCUAAGCCCAUUUAGCUAACAUGUUAGCAAACGUGUCUGUUUUAAAGUUAAGCACACAAAACCCAAUGCUAUUAUUCAUUAGUGUCAUAAUAAUGACUACUGAAUUGUUUAAUUCAGUAUUGGUGCCAUUGAUGCCAAUUAAUCUGGUUUCUGUCAAUAAACAAAAAUAAUAGCAACCAGCUAAUCUGCUAGUUGCUAACUUGACCUCAGAGUUGUUAUCUGUCCAAAGAUAUGAUUUAGAAGUAGAAGAAAUGCAGUAUUGUAGGGCAAGAUUUUAGGGUACCUCUGGUACUGAAAGACCAAAAAUAAACCGUAAGUGUGGAAAUAAGUUGAAUAAGCUAACAGUUAGCUAUAAAGGGCUUAAACACGCAAGAACUGUGGUAAUCUUACAAUGAGUCACACAAGCAUGCAGAUAUGUUGUUGUUUUUUUGAAAAAAUAAAAAAAUACUUGUAAUGUUGAAAUUGAAACACUUCUUUUUUGUCCAAAUCCAAGUCAUUUGAGACCAGGCAUUUGUCUAUGCCAAGUCCAGUCCAAUACUGUUUAAAUAGAAUUAAAUUAGCGCCAUGUGUUAUGUUGGCGAACUUUGUAACUUUAAAUGGUAGUGACAGUACACACACCAUUUGGUACACAUGAUCAAUGGGAUUAUGUCCUGACAUUCUGAAUUUUAAAAAUUGUCCAGAACAUUCAUAACUUGGUGGAUAAUAUUAUGAGUGAAGCUGAGAUAAAAUCAUAACCAGGGUACCUAAUAAUUUGUUUUAAAGCAAAACCUGCAAAUUAAUUAUACCAGUUGAAUAAACUAGUUGUUUAUGCAGGUGAAAGUAUAAUAAUUAAAGACUCAAUUAUCCUCUCAGUCAUAUUUUUUAAAAAUGAGAGUACUGUUAUUGUGGUCUACUCUAUAACCAAUUUGUCUACAAUUUGUAUUAUAAUGCAAACAUUUCAUGAAACAAAUGCAAGUUUUUGUUUAAAUAUGGUAAACACCAGAUCAAGGUGGUGCUGUAAAGGGUUCUGUUUACAUCUUUUACAACGUCCCACAUUUCAUUCAUAAAUAAAUUAAAUGUCUGUUCAGCCUCUGCCUUUGGAUGAAUAGGAAAAUAAUAUUUCAGAUGCCUGACUGAUGGACUGAGGGUAUCUGUUAGAAACCGACCGUCAAAUCUACAUUUUAACAGAUCGCUCUCAUAAUUCAGCAGCCACACGUUUCCUGAAAUCUGGCAGAAUGAAUAAGUGAUCUGAGAGAAUUUCGAGCAGCCUCCCGGCUUAACGGCGGCCCCAUUUGAUAUUUUAGCCCGCAAUUAGUCAUGCAUCCACAAAAUCCACAGCUUCUCCAUCACAUGUGUGCUUUCUGAGGGACUCAUCUUUGGAGCAGUAACUUCCAUAAAUCAUGCUCUUGGUUCUUUGCAUCCACAGCCCCUGUUGAGUCCCACCUUUUUUAAGGCUCAGACUGAUGUCAAAGUCUUCAAUUCGCUCCGACAUCGCUCUGAUCUGACUGACAGGCUGGACUCUGCAGCGGCCACUCUCAGGCAAAGUGAUAUACAUGUUGUAAGAGACGGAUAAUGAGCACGUGUUUCUUGUGUUACAAGAUUAUGAUAUCAGAUCAGAUUUGACGAGAACAGUAUCUCAUCCCGUUAUGUCCAGUUUGUCAACAAACACACAUAUUGUAAGGUAAAAAAGAAAAAAAAAUCCUUUUAGCAUGUCUGGACACCCUGAAUGCCUCGAAAUAAUAUGAAUAAAGAAGAAUUUCACAUGUUUUUUUUCUAUAAUGUCAAACUUCAAGAGCUUGUGUGAAGCUGCUUGUUUUAUAUCCUUACUUAUACUGUACUGUAUCACUGUAAUUCUUAUAGUAAUUAAGUAUUUUUGAUGAACUGUGUAAAUAAAGAUCAUUAAAAUGUCUCAAACACUA